This 415-nucleotide ribosomal RNA is filed under the name Phycis blennoides. RNAcentral describes it as "partial 12S ribosomal RNA". It matches the Rfam family "Bacterial small subunit ribosomal RNA", at positions 767 to 1390 of the family's 1533-position model. Lineage: Eukaryota; Metazoa; Chordata; Actinopteri; Gadiformes; Phycidae. The record is from RNAcentral.
UUWAACUGGGAUUAGANCCCCACUAUGUGUGGUCCUCAACAUCGAUAUCACUAUACUUAGAUUAUCCGCCCGGGAACUACGAGCAUUAGCUUAAAACCCAAAGGACUUGGCGGUGCUUUAGACCCCCCUAGAGGAGCCUGUUCUAGAACUGAUAACCCCCGUUAAACCUUACCCUCUUUUGUUUAAUCAGCCUAUAUACCGCCGUCGUCAGCUUACCCUGUGAAGGCACAUUACAGUAAGCACAAGUGGCACAGCCAAAAACGUCAGGUCGAGGUGUAGCCAAUGAGAGGGGAAGAAAUGGGCUACAUUCUCUGCCUCAGAGAACUAACGAAUGGUAAAUUGAAAUAAUACCUGAAGGAGGAUUUAGCAGUAAGCAGAGAAUAGAGCGCCCUGCUAAAAGGCCNGGNGCNCAAAA